UUCAUGUCUUUUGUAUUAAAGAAUUAAAUGGAUGAAAUAUGAAGUUUUAUUAAAAGAAAAAGGGGUGAAAAGAACAAAGUUUUGUCCAUCUUUGUUCAUCAUAGCUGAAAGUUAGAGAAGAGAAAGGAGAGGAGAAAGCUCUUGAGUAUUUGGUCAUUAGGAGGAGGAAAAUUGAAGGAAAUCCCCAACCAUAGUGGGCUUGGAGCUGUGAGGGAAUUCGGAGUGGCCACCCAUUCUGAAAGUUUGAUUUUCUUCUGGUGAACUGGACAUCCUUUUAUUUACGUUUGAAUUUUUUGGGCUUUUAAAUGUAAUAAGGCCACUUAAUUAUUUUUGAUGGUUUUAAUAUGUAUUACUAAGAUAGGUAAUACUUAUUUUAACUGUUGAAAUUGGAUAGCUUUAGGGCGCGUUUUCAAAAACAACAAUUGAUUUCAAAAUAACACGACAACAA
This is a long non-coding RNA of Gossypium arboreum, 448 nucleotides long. RefSeq lists it as uncharacterized. The transcript has 2 exons. The record is from RefSeq and is a predicted model, not a curated record. NCBI's taxonomy places the organism in Eukaryota, Viridiplantae, Streptophyta, Magnoliopsida, Malvales, Malvaceae.